RNAcentral lists this ribosomal RNA (440 nucleotides) under uncultured bacterium. Its description in RNAcentral is "partial 16S ribosomal RNA". It matches the Rfam family "Bacterial small subunit ribosomal RNA", at positions 338 to 795 of the family's 1533-position model. The record is from RNAcentral.
CCUACGGGGAGCUGCAGUGGGGGAUAUUGCACAAUGGGGGAAACCCUGCUGCAGCGACGCCGCGUGGGUGAAGAAGCGCCUCGGCGCGUAAAGCCCUGUCAGCAGGGAAGAAAAUGACGGUACCUGAAGAAGAAGCCCCGGCUAACUACGUGCCAGCAGCCGCGGUAAUACGUAGGGGGCAAGCGUUAUCCGGCUUUCCUGGGUGUAAAGGGGGCGCAGACGGCGAUGCAAGCCAGGAGUGAAAGCCCGGGGCCCAACCCCGGGACUGCUCUUGGAACUGCGUGGCGAGAGUGCAGGAGGGGCAGGCGGAAUUCCUGGUGGAGCGGUGAAAUGCGUAGAUAUCAGGAGGAACACCGGUGGCGAAGGCGGCCUGCUGGACUGCAACUGACGUUGAGGCCCGAAAGCGUGGGGAGCAAACAGGAUUAGAUACCCCUGUAGUC